Molecule: long non-coding RNA, 1410 nt
Organism: Oxyura jamaicensis (ruddy duck)
Lineage: Eukaryota; Metazoa; Chordata; Aves; Anseriformes; Anatidae
Exons: 3
Source: RefSeq, a predicted model, not a curated record
CUUCUUUGGACAUUCUCCAGCACCCCAAGAUGAUUUCAGAUUGCCAGAGGCAAAAGCAUGGAAAAGAUCUGGUAUCCAUUAUAUUGGUGGCAGCAAGGAGGAGUCAAUGUCUCCUUCUGGCCCCUCUCCCCUGCCUAGGGAUGUGUUUCAUGGAGCCUGUCAGCAAAACAGAAUGGGUGGCUGUAUCUCUAUCUGUGCCCACUUCCCCAGAAAUUCAGCCAAAACAAGGGUCUUGGAGAGGUGGGAUGUGCAAGAGGCCCCUACACAUCCCCCAGAGGAGAUUCAUCAUCUCAGGACUCUUGCAAGGUGUAAUUAACACUGAUUUUCCUGGGCUGGUAAUGUUUCCAAAACUGAUUUCCAAACCUGCAAGCCCUUGUGCUGUAUGGGAUAAACCACAAAACAUCUAACCAUGUCCUCCCACCCCAUAAUUUCCUCAGGGUGUUACCUGCACAAACCACACCAGCAUCUUCACCAUGGUGGCAAUUGUUCUUCCCCCAGUCAUUCGCUCUGCAGUAGGAAAGCGCCACCUCCGUCCCCGUGCAGUUGACAUCGUCCAGCCAGAUGGGGCCAGACCCCAUCCUGAACUGGCCAGGUCUGCUGGUGGACAAGGCGAUGCCACAGUGCAGCUGACGGCACACCACGUUGGCAUCAUCCAGGUCCCAGUGGUCGUCGCACACCGUGCCCCACCUGUUGCUGUAGUACACCUCAACUCGGCCAGCACAACGGUGUGGUCCGUUCAGCAAGCGGAGGGGAACCCUCUGGGAUGCAACUGGUUCUGCACGGGAUGCAGAAACAGUCCCAUGCAGAAGAGCUGAGAAAGCCUACAUGACCUGUGCUAGCUUCAUAUGGCCUCUGCAAGUAGCUAUGGUUUAUGUGCACCACUCACAUGCUUCUCCUGUGGUAGGCAAACCCCCAAAAAAUCCAGAUCUAGGAGAAAAAAAUGCUCUGCAAAUCCCAUUUUCCCAGUAAAAGACAUUAAUCGUCAAAGGGACUUUGGAUAUUUUUAAUGGAUAUUCCCAAACAAAUUCAGAAACAAACAAAAAAAAGACCACACUGCAGUCUGGAUUGAAAACUCUGGACGUAGGGAUUGUCUCUCAGUUGGCUGUUGCAUUAGGCAAAGCAUCACCAGCAGGUCAAGAGGUGAUCCUUCCCCUCUACUCAGCACUGGGGACGCUGCACCUCGAGUGCUGGGUCCAGUGCUGGGCCCCCAGUCCAAGACAGACAUGGACAUGCUGGGGAGAGUCAAUGGAGGGACACCAAGGUGAUCAAGGGACCACCUCUCCUACGAAGAGAGGCUGAGAGCCUGGGGAAGAGAAGGCUCAGAGGGGAUCUUAUCGAUGCCCAUAAAUCCCUGAAGGAAGGGCGCGAUGAAGAUGGAGCCAGGCUCUUUUCAGGGGUGCCCAGGCACAG